UGGCUUUCAACGGCGGUUUGUAAGGGAUGACGAAGGAAGAGGUUUAUGGUUGGUUGAAGAAAAGGGUAAAUGACGAAAAGAGGAGGCGUGAGGUUGUUCGUCGGAGGCGGUUACGAACGAAGAUGUUGUUCUCGCGGCGGAAGGUAAGAGGCGGAAAAGGGUGAAUAGUGAUUAGUUUUUUUUAAAGAUCUGACGUUGAAGAUGUAGUGUGGAGGAUGGUCGUUGAAGAAGAUGAUGGAAGGUCGUCGCCGACGGUGAGGGAAGAUGAUGACGAUGAUGUUGGUUGUGUUGGUUUGCGUGGUGAAAAUGACGCGAAGGCAGUUUUCAGAGGAAGGAGUUUGGAUGUCAUUGGGUUGUGGUGACGGAAAAUGGAUACGGAUCAGAGUUGUGGUUGUUGGUGAGAGGAGAAGAAGUGAGACGUGGUGGUGAGAGGGCGAUGUAGCCGGAGUUGUUGACGGUGUGGUGUUGAGGAAGAUUGGGUUUGGGGUGUUGUGUUUGGUGGAGAAGAUGAAAGGUUUUUGGGUUUUUUGGAAAGGAGAAGAUGAUGUUCUCUUUUUGUUUUUCUUUGUUUUUCUCAGAGAGAGUCAUUGGAAGAUGUCCCUUGGUGGGUUCUCCUUCCAUUUUAUUUUUAUUUUUUUCGUUUCCUUAUUCUAGAGAGAGAGAGUAUUUUUUUUGUGGAGUCCUCGUGAGAGCAGAGAGAGUAUCUUUUUUUAUUUUUUUUGGAUUCUAUUGUUAAUAUCCUUUUUAUUACCAUUGGAGUACAACUUGUGAUGGUCCCCCUUCCAUUGGUCAGUGGGCCGUUGGUUUUUGAAACCAAGAAUAUCCAAUAUUCUUUUUUCUUCUUUUGUUUUCUAGCGAGAGAGAGAGAGAUGACGCGUGGAGGGGUUUUUAUGUUAUUUAUUUUCAGAUUUUUUUAAUAGAUUUAGUUAAAAUCCUAUUUUUUUAUUGGGUGAUAGAAAUGAAUAUGGAUUGCUAACACGGGCCUUUGAUUAACCCUGAUUUAAUGGUUGAGAUCAAUGGAAAGAAACACAAAUUCUAACCAACUUUAAAAAUGCCUAAAAUGCCCCUCCUAGAUAAUUUAAUUGAUUUAAACGAUUUAAAUCAAUUAAAUCAAAUAAAAUUGACAAUUCUCUAAAUAAAUAUGAUAAAAAUAAAAUAAGGACAUGGAAAAUUCUAUUUAUUUAAUCUGAAUAUUUUGGUGAAAGAAUAAAAAUAAAAUGACUAGAAAUGAAUAAAUGUCAGGUGAAAAUUUGCCCGGAAAAUUAAAUCGGACGCACUAAAGUUAUCAGCGCGAAAUAUACUUAUUGAAAAAAUACAGCAUUUUUUUAAAUUUUGAAAUAAUUUUUCACCGGUUAAAAGCCUCGGACGGAUUAAAAUGCGACUGCAAAAGUCCUUGAAAAAUAUAACGAGUACACUAGGUUAAACUACGCGAACCGUAGAUUAAUAAUACUGACGUCUGCAAGUUUGAUUUCGAAACUUUUUAUCCGCUGAUUUUGCACGUACUUGAGAAAUGAUUUAACCAAUUUGUCUGUAUAUUCCAGAGUUUAUUCCGACUGAUAUUUUAGGUGUUAUUUAUGAAGAAAUGCAUAUUAUGUUGUACACAUGAUGCGAACUGAAAAUGAAAUUGAAUUUAUGAAAAUUUAAAAUGCUCGGACAAAAUUGGGGUAUGACAGUUGCCCCUAUUUAAUUACCUUGAACCAGAAAGUACGAAUGACAACAAUCUUCGCGCAUUCUUGGUGGAAGAUAAUUAAAUACGAAAAGACCCAAAUUUUUCCUUUUGAAAUGCAAGGAAGAAAUGCAGUGAGAAAUAAAGUAAAAAAUUAUUGGAAGGUAAAUAAAACAAUCAAGACUCUCUGGGAAUCAUCAGAACAGUAUCUUGGAUGUCACAAUCGAGAUAUUCCAACAAUGGAAUGAUACCUCAAUUGUACCUAAGAUUUUCUGAAAAUUAGCAGAACAGUGUCUUGAUUUGAACGCACGAGAUUCUCUGAGGAUCAACGAAGCAGUACCUUACACAAUAUAAUUGAGAUAUUCCGACAAGGGAAUGAUACCUCAGUCGUGUCUAAGAUUCUCCGAGGAUACUAGAGCAGUAUCUCUGAAAAUAAAAUGAGACUCUUCAGGUAAACGAAGCAGUAUCUCAAAUAGAUAAAUGAAAUUCUUCAGAUAAAUGAAGCAGUAUCUCAAACAGAUAAAUGAGAUUCUUCAAACAAAUGAAGCAGUAUCUCAAGCAGAUAAAAUGAGAUUCACUGUAUCGAAUCGAAGCAGCAUCUUAUAUGAUGAAUCUAAGACUCUUCGAGGAUACUAGAGCAGUAUCUCUAAAAAUGAAUGAGACUCUUUAUAUUGAUGAAACAGCAUCUCAAACAGCAAAAAUGAGACUUUCUGUAUCAGAUCAAAGCAGCAUCUUAUAUGAUAGAAUUAAGAUAUUCCAAAUGAAGGGAAUGAUAUCUUAAUUGAAUCUAAGACUCUUCGAGGAUACUAGAGCAGUAUCUCUAAAAACAAAAUGAGACUCUUCAUAUUGAUGAAGCAGCAUCUCAAACAGAGAAAUGAGAUUCUUCAGAUAAAUGAAGCAGUAUCUCAAAUGUUCGUCUGUUGGGGGAAAUAUUUUAGAAAAGACUCCUUUUGGAGGAGAUUUACUAGAAAUGCCUUGCAGGGGAAAAGCUCAUGAGAGACUUUUUAGGGUAACCUUUGCUAGGGGAGCAAUGAUAGCAAAGAUGUUGGGGAAUAUCAUUAUCAACCAUAAAAUUGAAGAAUGACUUGCUAAGAAAUAAAUCUACAAGCACAUGCAGGGUAAUAACUUUAUUUAGAAACAAGGAAAAUCCGAGAUAUACAUAAAAGGCUCGGGACCCUGAUAUUUUAAUAUGAUUUUUGUAUGAUGUUCCACUUUGGGUGGAAAUACCAUGCAUGGGAUGAUGCAUGAGAUGUAUGCAAGUAUUCAAUUGUUGGGGAUAUGUAGGAUAUGCAUGUAGAAAUGCGAAUUAUUUUUUAUUUUGUAUAAGGUUAUGCAUAAGUAUGUUGAUGAUUGACGGGAUUGUGUUUGAUGAAAUUCCUGUUUGGUAGGAAAAUUAUGCAUGAACCGAUGCAUGUGAUUAUGUAGGAAUGCAACUGGGUACUUGGAUUUUUUGUAGGGUUUUAUUUUGUUUCCGAAGGGAUUAUUGGGGAAUAUCAUCAUCAAAGGGUUGAUGGAAUAGAUUGUCAUCAAUAGAGGGCUGAUGGAAAAGAAAAUUUCAUCGUCAAAGGGUUGACGGAAAGAAAAUUCACUAGGGAGCGACAUCAUCAAAGGGUUGGUGGAAAAAUCUAUCACCGUCAAAGGGUUGACAGAAAGAACAUGUCAUCGUCAAAGGGUUGAUGGAAAGAAACUGUCAUCGUCAGAGGGCUGAUGAAAAAUAAAUAUAUAUGUAUUAUCAUCGUCAAAGGGUUGAUGGAAUAGAUUUUCAUCAACAAAGGGCUGAUGGAAAAGAAAAUGUCAUCGUUAAAGGGUUGACGGAAAGAAACUUCACUAUGGAGUGGCAUCACCAAGGAGUUGGUGGAACAGAAAAUUUGUCAUUGUCAAAGGGUUGACAGAAAGAAAUUGUCAUCAUCAGAGAGCUGAUGGAAAAUAAAUAUAUAUGUAUUAUCAUUGUCAAAGGGUUGACGAAAGGAAACUUCACUAUGGAAUGGCAUCACCAAAGGGUUGGUGGAAAAGACUGUCAUCAUUAGAGGGCUGAUGGAAAAGAGACCUCACUAUGGAGUGGCAUCACCAAAGGGUUGGUGGAAAGGAUGAUCAUCAUCAGAGGGAUGAUAGAAAGGUGUUUAUCAUCGUCAAAGGGUUGACGGAAAGGUAACUUUGUCAUCGUCAAAGGGUUGACAGAAAGAAACUUCACUAUGGUGUGGCAUCACCAAGGGGUUGGUGGAACAAAAAAUUUGUCAUUGUCAAAGGGUUGACGGAAAACAUUUAAGGGAUAUCAUCACCAAAGGGUUGGUGGAAAAGAAAAUUUGUCAUCGUCAAAGGGUUGACGGAAAGAAACUUCACUAGGGAGUGGCAUCAUCAAAGGGUUGAUGGAAAGGAAUUAUUAUGUUAGGUAUGCAUAUGGUGCAUGAAAACCUCUCCUUUUUGUGAGAGAGCUUAUGGAUAUGCAACUUCCUGAUUUGGUAGGAAAAUUGUGUGUGUUUAUUGUAUGCAGUGCAUGUGGUAAUGCCAGAUGAAUAUUGGUUGUUUUUUAUUGAUCUCCCUUUUUGAAGGUGAGACUUUUUGGGUACCAAUGUUGAUUGGAUUUGAGUUUAUGGAGAUGCCAACAAAGUGGACUUUUUAAUUUGGUAGUUGCCAAUAUGGAUUGGGCUUUUGGUUGGUGAAAGGUUUUGAUUUCCCGACACUCUGUACUUUGACUAUGUGAUGAUUGGAGUGUAAACAUGGAUGCUAUUAGCGCCCCAAGUUUGAUCUUUUGUUGAUAGAUGGUGUGUUUGUUAUUGAGAGAACCUCAACUUAUUUGCUUGAUAUGCCUUGAUGGCUUGCAAAUGGUUUAAUAAGUGUAGCGACGUAAUCAAUGCAUGAUGAUUAUGCUUUUGCUCUACCUCGAGGCUCUUUGGAACUUGUCUGCCCAAGUCUGCAGGGUCCUUGAAGGAAUUCUCCUUUGAAAGGAAAUCCUGGGAAUGAAUAUACCAUGGCUUGAACCAAUUUUUCCCCAGUGUAUGAAUCUUUCUGUAGUUCGCCCCUGUUUGAGCUUUUGAAAGGCUUGCCCCAGAUGGACUGAAUAUUUUUUGAAAUGUUUUGCCUCCUUGAUCAAUUAAUGCUUGGAGAUUUGUCUUUUGAUUGACCAAUUCAUAGUCAUUGGAUACCAUGCCCUUAAUCCAUAGGGUUAAGGGUGUUCUUGCUUCGGGCCAGCAUUGACGAAUGAUCAAGUUCCUCUAUGAUUGCUUCUUUAAAGCUCCUUGAUGCCAAGUACUUACUUGAAGUUAAAAUUGUUCAUUUAAUCAAUGGUAAUUUUAAUGCGAUAUUCAUGCAGGUUUGAAAAGUCAUUUAUUGAUAUGAUGGGAUAGUGUGUGACGAAAGAACCAUUAGUUCAAACGUAUUGCUGCUUUAGCUAGGGUGUGAAAGGUACAGCGGGAAUAUGAUGCCAAUACAGGUGACUAGCAAAUAUUUAGGAGUCAGUUUAUGCAACCUUACUAUAGUAUGCUUUCAGAAUAAACCAUGCUUCAAUUAGGUCUUUUAAGGGUUGUAACAUGGUCUGGUUCACGGUUAUUGAAACAAAGGAUGUAAGGCUCAAAUUUUGUUUUAACCCACCCCUUCUUCAUGAUGAUCUCCAAUCCUAAGCUCAGUUAAUUCAACAUACACAUUCGUCUUUCAAGAGAGUUUGGUAGUGUAAGAUCUCUUGAAAUGGCAGUCAUCUUAUUUUGCUCUUCAUGGAUGUUGGUGACCCUUUGAUUUUGGUAUGAUGGUCACCGAAUCUUGUUUUGUUUUGUUGGGGGUUUUCACUGCCUCUUCUAAUUUUUGUUUUGAUCCCUAACUUUUGCCUGGACCGCUUUUUGAAGCUUUUAGUCCACCGGGAUUGCCCUAAUUUUUGCCUAAGUUUCCUUUUGGGGUAUCGACUUAACGAGCUUUUCCUUUGAUCAUUUGUUGAAAAAUCGUGACUGCCAAGUCAUUGGUCAUUGAAGAAUAACUGAUAUAAAUUUUGGAUUUUGUAUGGCUCCUUUAACCCUUUAGGAUAUGUGUGAAGAACAUCAUGUGGUUGAUCUCCAUAUGGGAUAUUUCAUCUUGUAAUUCGAAUGUGUAGUCAGAUUAACUAAACACUUCCCUGCCCCAGGUUAAGCGUAAGGGUUUGUAAAUCCGAAAGAAUCUCCUUCUUCUAGGCUCGAAGUGGUUUAACUAGGGAUUAACUCCUUAUUUCUCCAGUGUUUGGGAAUUUGAAACGAUGCAUGUACAUCAUCAGCAAGAUUUUAUCCAUAAGCAUACUAUUAGCAAUUAUGGGUAUUUCAUUUUCGCCAUCCUCCCUUCAAUCUUUGCUAAAAUAACAAUUUGAUAAAUGAAUGGGAGAAAUAUUUUUGUUUUUUUAAUAUAAAUGGAAAAUAUGAGUAAAUACGAAAGGAUUCGUUCAAAACAUGCAUGAUCAUUUCAUUAAUAUUACCAUUAAAGAAAAUCAACAAUGAAAGCAGAUAAGUACUUAACAUGUAAAGAAAAAUACAAUUGAAAUGCUAAAAAUAGUCAAAUGGUUGCCAGUGCAGAGGAAACUUUCUCGUGCCAGGUUCACUGCUGACUAUCCUUCUUCACAGUAAAGGUAGUUCUGCUCGUCGAGACUAUUAUGAUAAUCAUCUUCAGACCUAUUCUUGGAAAUUUCUUCCAUAACAUGGAGUGAUGGACCCGUAUAGCUAGAUGAAGAAGUAUUGUUGAGGUGAAGGCCUCGAGACGCAAAUGAGAACAUCUUGGAAUCAAGCAGGGUGUGUACCUUACUCUUGAGCACUUUGUAGUCUUCAGUUGAAUGCCCAUGAGCCACAACAUGGAAGUCACAUCAAGCGUCGGUGUCAAAACCUGGUGGAUAUGGAGGAAUGACUGGAUUUAGCUCCUUUGACACUAUCAGUCCUCUCUCAAUCAAAUAUGGAAAUACUUGACUAUAUGGCAUUGGAAGCGGAUCGAUGUGUCUCUCUGGUUUUCUUGGCCUUUAUUGAGCAUAUUGAUGAUGUCAGUGUGGAACAUCAUGUCGUUUGUAUGGGUAUUGAGAUGGAAUCCUUUGUUGAUACUGAUGAGAUAUUUGACUUGUAGGAUGCUGCCCAUGUGGAGAGAAUGGUGUUUGAUAUGAAGCUUGUGGGAUCUCCCAUACUGCAUUAACUCCACCAUCUUCUCCCUUUUGUGAAUUGACAAUAGAUUCACUCUCAAUGCUCUGGCUACUUGAGGCACAUUGGAUUCUUCCACUUUUAAGGUCAUACUUGAUGCGUUCUCCGAUUGACACCAAGUGAGUGAAGUCUGAUGCUACACUGCUAAUCAUCCUUUCGAAGUAAGGACUUUGCAAGGUAUCUCUGAAUAAUUCCAUGAAUUCUUUGCCUAAGAGUGGUGGUUCAACGCAAGCAGCUAACACUCUCCAUCUUUGGGAAUACCCUCUGAAGGAUUUGUUAUUUUCCUUAAAUAAGGCCCUUAGCUGCAUGCGAUCGGGAGCUAUGUCCAAAUUGUAUUUGUAUUGCUUCAAAAAGGCGGUAGCUAGGUUCAUCCAUGACCGAACAUGAUUCCUUUCUAACUUCAUGUACCAACUCAAUAAUGCCCCAGUCAAAUUGUCCUGAAAACAGUGAAUCAUUAGCUUAUCAUUGUGAGCAUAAGAGGUAAUUUUUGAACAGAACAUCACCAAAUGGUGCUUUGGACAGCUAUCCCCUUUAUACUUCUCAAAUUCUGGUACUUUAAAUUUUACGGGUAUAACCAGGCCAGGUACCAAACACAUGUCUAAGGCAUUCAGUUCAACAAUAUCUUGUCCUUCUAUGGCCUUGAGUAUUUUCUAUAGCACACUGCAUCUUUCAGCAAUCUCAUCAUCUUGUGGUCGUUUAGUAUUAACCACUAGGCUUGUCCUAUGGGAAUCUGGCGCAGAGAAUGCAAAAUUGUGAUACUCAAUAGCAUCAUGAUAUGAGGAACCCCCGUCUCGAACAAUAUGACAUUCUUCUACAACAGAGUUAUCAACUGGGGUUCGUACAGGCCGAGGUUGGGUAAGAUCAUUUACUGGAGUUGGAAUGACAUUCUCAAUAACUGCAGUCCGCUGAAUGUUGUCCUCUCUCUUUGCUAAAGUUAUCAUAGCCUCCACAAGUUGGUCUAUUUGAUUUUUCAUUGAUUCAACAUCUCCUCUUAAAGCAAUAUGACUUUGCUCCAACGGAUCCAUGGUCUUUCAAGAGCUACUUCAAGUCUGAUACGAAUGUCGGGAAUUCAAUUACGGGUUAUGGAAAAAGGAUGGGAUGAGUUUUUUUGUUUAUGAAAAUGAUAUGCAAUUCAUGCUGAUGAGAUGAGAAUGCAUGAAAUUUUGUAUUUAGGUAUGCAAAGAAAAUGUAAUGCAAGUAUAGUUAGGAUCCAGGAUAUCAUGAGUAUCAUAUGGUACACCCUAUGCGGAGGUUCUAUGUUCUCUACCCCACACACAAAGGAUGGCUCCUAAGAUUGUUCCUUUUCAAGACAGAACUUAGAGUCACGGAUUGUGUUCAGCAUCCCAUUGCAAUAAUGGGCUAGCCACAUCGUGAUGAAAGUUAUGAAUUAAUCUACUCUAAAUGGGAUCUUCGUAUUGUUCGAACAUAGUGUAGACCCCUCGGUUCAAUACUACACAAUCUCCAAUCAUGAAGAUGGACUUCGGUUUAAGGCGAGGCUCCUAGAGUCACGGACCGUGUUCAAAGUUUCCUCGCAAUAAUGGGCUAGCCAUAUUGUGAUUGAAAUUCCGAACAGAUCUACUCUAGGCGGAGUAUUAGUAUUGUCCCAACGAGGUGUAUACCCUUCAGUUCAAUCCUACACAACUCCAUGUUCUAAGUUCUUCUCAAAGCUCGGGUACGGAGCUUAUCUUACAAGAUGUACCAAGCACCAUAGACCACCCAACGUAAUAGCAGAAUAAAUCACAUAGCAUAAAUAAUACAGUAAGGUAUAAAGAAGCAAUAAGGAAGAAAAACAAUAUUUUAACAUUCAUAGCAAUUGAACUAAAUUAGGCUUGACUCUCUCUAGCUUGGAGCUAAAUCCCCAACAGCGUCGCCAUCUAUCGCAUCUCAAAAAAUACAAUUCCUCGCAAUGGUCGCGAAAAAAAUUAGUUCGAACAAAGUCGCCACCGAACUUUAUUUAUUCCAAUGAAGGAAUAGGAAAAUAUCGAUAAAACCUUUGAAAAACAGAAUAAUGAUCGUUGCAACCAUAUUCGGGUUCGAGAGUCGAUUACGCAAGGGGAAGGUAUUAGCACCCCUCAUGUCCAUUGUACCUAACAGGAACCUUUUAGUUUAAUUUGCGAUUUGAAUGUUAGCUGAAUGUUGUUUGUUUUCUUCAAAUGAAUAAGGAUUGAAAAUUGAGAUGGAUGGGAACCUCAGAAGGGAGAAAAUGGAGGUUUUUUAUUAGUGUGCUCACCAAGAUCUCGCAAUCUUGUGCCUAUGUUUCCUUAUAAUGCAAUAAGGAAGUCAGAGCAUUCGUAGUUCGGGGAACUACGGUUUGUUGGUAUCUUUUAUGAACGACUAUUUAGAUCACGUUCUAAAGGCUAAACGUUGGCUUGUCUACUCUCGGCGGAGGCUUAAGCACUAUUUUGUUGUGCGCGUUAGAAAGGAUUAAACAGUGUUCUUUUUUUAAAAAAAAGUUUCGAUCGCAAUGGGGGGUAGAAAUUAGAUUAAAUAUUGUUUGGUAUUUUGAAGAAGAGCGACGAAAGAUUGAGCAAUAUGGUGCACACCAAUCGUUCAAUUCAUUCGAGGAAUAACAAGGCGAGCGCCUCCUAUUUCCUUUUUCGUUCAAAUUAUUAUCGAAAGUUGUUUGCAGAAAUCGAAUAUGUGCGGUAGUGAGGCGUGCGCCUCUCACUUUCUUAUUCAAGGAAUGAUGAGGCGUGCGCCACCCAUUCCUUUAUCCAAUGUUCAUUUAACGUGUUUUAAUCGGCAGACGGAAAAAUCAAGCAAUAUGGCGAGCGCCAAUCAUUCAAUUAUUCUAGAGAUGGUGAGGUGAACGCCUCCCAUUCUUUUAUCAUCCGAAAUUUAAUUUAUAAAAGAAUGUUCUUAGAAGUUGUAUUAAUUUGGGAAAAUAACUUGAAUUUGUAUGAUUCAGGUUUUAAUCGGAAGUCAACAAUUUGAGCAAUAUGGUGCACGUCAAUCGUUCAAUUAUUCGAGAGAUGGUAAGGCGAACGACUCUCAUUCUCUUUUAUCAUCUGAAAUUUAAUUUAUAAAAGAAUAUUCUUAGAAAUUAUAUUUAAUUUGAAAAAGUGUUUUGAAUUCGAAUGAAAAUACUUUAAUCGGAUUUAGAGAAAAAUACUUGGUGUUGGACCAGGAUUUUAAAAUAGAUUCAUAAUUAUUUUUUAUUAUUUAAUCAACAUUAUCAUAUACUUAUUUAUUUAAUUUUUCAAUAAACAAAUAGAUGAAUAAUCAUUAAUCAAGUAUAUAAAAAAUAUGACUUUAUAUCUACUAUUUCCAUCCUAGAACCAAUUACUCAGUUAAUUAAUAAUAAUCAAAUUAAUAGGUAAUUAAAAUAAAAUAAAAUAAAAUAAAUAAAUAGUAAAAGAAAUAAUGGAAGGAUUAUUUUUUAGAGUUAAUCAUUAUAGGUUCAUCAAUUAAUCGUUAACUCAAUAUCAUGAUUAAGAUGCAAACAAAUAAUUUAAUGGAAUUAAAAUUAGAAAAAUUCCAAUGUUCCAAAAUAGCAAACAGAAUUAUGAAUUAUACAGUAAGAAAGUGCCAAUAGCACCAGUACGGAGUUAAUUUAAGUAAAAAGUCUAAGCCCAAUAAACCGUUAAAAUAAAAUAAGAUUGGGGCUUAAAAUCAAAGCAGGAGAAAUAGAUAUACCCUCACAAUUUCUCCUUUUUCCAAUGUCUUCCUCACUCUUGCAUCCCUUCGGUAACAAAAGAAAAACAUACUAACAAUAAAUGUGUUUCAACAUGAAAAGAAAAUUCACUUCUCUCUUAAUUUCAUUUUAAUUUUUCAACAUUUUCCAAUUGUUUUUCAUAGCCAUUAACAGAACAACUUGAAUUAAAUGGGAAAUCAAACGUGAGGAAAAAAAGAACACUUCACCGACAGUUAUGGAGGAACGGCGGCGUGGCAGUGGUUUGGCUUUCAACGGCGGUUUGUGAGGGAUGACGAAGGAAGAGGUUUAUGGUUGGUUGAAGAAAAGGGUAAACGACGGAAAGAGAAGGCGUGAGGUUGUUCGUCUGAGGCGGUUACGAACGGAGAUGUUGUUCUCGCGGCGGAAGGUAAGAGGCGGAAGAGGGUGCGUAGUGAUUAGGUUGUUUUUUUAAGGUCCAACGUCGAAGAUGUAGGGUGGAGGAUGGCCAUUGAAGAAGAUGAUGGAAGGUCGUCGCCAGAGGUGAGGUGAGAUGAAAGAGAUGAUGACGACGAUGUUAGUUGUGGUCGUUUGCAUGGUGGAAGUGACACGAAGGCGGUUUCCGACGAAAGGAGUUUGGAUGUCGUUGGGGUUUGGUGACAGAAAAUGGAUACGGAUCGGAGUUGUGGUUGUUGGUGAGAGGAGAAGAAGUGAGACGCAAUGGUGAGAGGGCGAUGUAGUCGGAGUUGUUGACGGUGUGGUGUUGAGGAAGAUUGGGUUUGGGGUGUUGUGUUUGAUGGAGAAGAUGAAAGGUUUUUCGUUUUUUUUGGAAAGGAGAAGAUGAUGUUUUCUUUUUAUUUUUCUUUGUUUUCCUCAGAGAGAGUCAUUGGAAGAUGUCCCUUGGUGGGUUCUCCUUCCGUUGUUUUUUUUCGUUUCCUUAUUCCAGAGAGAGAGAGAGUAUUUUUAGUGGAGUCCUCGUGAGAGCAGAGAGAGUACCUUUUUUUAUUUGUUUGGAUUCUAUUGUUAAUAUCCUUUUUAUUACCGUUGGAGUACAACUUGUGAUGGUCCCCCCUUCCAUUGGUCAGUGGGUCGUUGGUUUUUGAAACCAAGAAUAUCCAAUAUUCUUUUUUCUUUUUUUGUUUUCUAGCGAGAGAGAGAUGACGCGUGGAGGGGUUUUUAUGUUAUUUAUUUUCAUAUUUUCUUAAUAAUAGAUUUAGUUAAAAUCCUAUUUUUUUAUUGGGUGAUAGAAAUGAAUAUGGAUUGCUAAGAUGGGUCUUUGAUUAACCUUGAUUUAAUGGUUGAGAUCAAGUGAAAGAAACACAAAAUGUAACCAACUUUAAAAAAUGCCUAAAGUUCCCCUCCUAGAUAAUUU
This 11780-nucleotide long non-coding RNA is filed under the name Lathyrus oleraceus (garden pea). RNAcentral describes it as "Pisum sativum (pea) long non-coding RNA (PSAT_LNC020372)". Lineage: Eukaryota; Viridiplantae; Streptophyta; Magnoliopsida; Fabales; Fabaceae. The record is from RNAcentral.